RNAcentral lists this ribosomal RNA (771 nucleotides) under uncultured Planctomycetales bacterium. Its description in RNAcentral is "bacterial SSU rRNA". It matches the Rfam family "Bacterial small subunit ribosomal RNA", at positions 8 to 789 of the family's 1533-position model. Lineage: Bacteria; Pseudomonadati; Planctomycetota; Planctomycetia; Planctomycetales. The record is from RNAcentral.
AUAGUUUGAUGCUGGCUCAGAAUGAACGCUGGCGGCAUGGCUAAGACAUGCAAGUCGAACGGACUAUUCUGAAGAGUAAUCGGAUUGAUAGUUAGUGGCGAAAGGGUGAGGAAUGGAUAGGUAACGUACCUCGGGCUCCGGAAUAGCUCAUCGAAAGGUGGGGUAAUGCCGGAUGAUGUCAUCUGUUUAAUGCAGGUGACCAAAGAUUUAUCGGCCCCUGAGCGGCCUAUUCCCUAUCAGCUUGUUGGUGAGGUAACGGCUCACCAAGGCAACGACGGGUAGCGGGACUGAGAGGUUGACCCGCCACAUCGGAACUGAGACACUGUCCGGACCUCCACGGAGGGCUGCAGUAACGAAUAUUGGGCAAUGGACGAAAGUCUGACCCAGCAAUGCCGCGUGUAGGAUGAAGCUUUUCGGAGUGUAAACUACUUUCAGGGAUUAGAAAGCUACGGUUGAUCAAUCCCAGAAGAAGUCACGGCUAACUUCGUGCCAGCAGCCGCGGUAAUACGAAGGUGGCAAGCGUUAUUCGAAAUCACUGGGCUUAAAGGGCGCGUAGGCGGAUAUGUAAGUGUUGAGUGAAAUCCCCCGGCUUAACCGGGGAAUGGCUUAGCAAACUGCAUGUCUUGAGGCAAGUAGGGGUGUGUGGAACUCUUGGUGGAGCGGUGGAAUGCGUAGAUAUCAAGAGGAACGCCGAAGGUGAAGACAGCACACUGGACUUGUACUGACGCUGAGGCGCGAAAGCGUGGGGAGCGAACAGGAUUAGAUACCCUG